RNAcentral lists this ribosomal RNA (894 nucleotides) under Limosilactobacillus reuteri. RNAcentral's name for it is "bacterial SSU rRNA". It matches the Rfam family "Bacterial small subunit ribosomal RNA", at positions 9 to 858 of the family's 1533-position model. The record is from RNAcentral. Lineage: Bacteria; Bacillati; Bacillota; Bacilli; Lactobacillales; Lactobacillaceae.
GAGUUUGAUCCUGGCUCAGGAUGAACGCCGGCGGUGUGCCUAAUACAUGCAAGUCGUACGCACUGGCCCAACUGAUUGAUGGUGCUUGCACCUGAUUGACGAUGGAUCACCAGUGAGUGGCGGACGGGUGAGUAACACGUAGGUAACCUGCCCCGGAGCGGGGGAUAACAUUUGGAAACAGAUGCUAAUACCGCAUAACAACAAAAGCCGCAUGGUUUUUGUUUGAAAGAUGGCUUUGGCUAUCACUCUGGGAUGGACCUGCGGUGCAUUAGCUAGUUGGUAAGGUAACGGCUUACCAAGGCGAUGAUGCAUAGCCGAGUUGAGAGACUGAUCGGCCACAAUGGAACUGAGACACGGUCCAUACUCCUACGGGAGGCAGCAGUAGGGAAUCUUCCACAAUGGGCGCAAGCCUGAUGGAGCAACACCGCGUGAGUGAAGAAGGGUUUCGGCUCGUAAAGCUCUGUUGUUGGAGAAGAACGUGCGUGAGAGUAACUGUUCACGCAGUGACGGUAUCCAACCAGAAAGUCACGGCUAACUACGUGCCAGCAGCCGCGGUAAUACGUAGGUGGCAAGCGUUAUCCGGAUUUAUUGGGCGUAAAGCGAGCGCAGGCGGUUGCUUAGGUCUGAUGUGAAAGCCUUCGGCUUAACCGAAGAAGUGCAUCGGAAACCGGGCGACUUGAGUGCAGAAGAGGACAGUGGAACUCCAUGUGUAGCGGUGGAAUGCGUAGAUAUAUGGAAGAACACCAGUGGCGAAGGCGGCUGUCUGGUCUGCAACUGACGCUGAGGCUCGAAAGCAUGGGUAGCGAACAGGAUUAGAUACCCUGGUAGUCCAUGCCGUAAACGAUGAGUGCUAGGUGUUGGAGGGUUUCCGCCCUUCAGUGCCGGAGCUAACGC